CCUGCGGAAGGAUCAUUGAAGGGCCUCCUGUACUAUGCUUUAUAUAAGUUUAGAAUACAAUUCAAACCCUCCCGUGUACUAUUCCUGUUGCUUUCUAGGGGUCACUGUUUGUCCUGGUUCAACAUCGCAGUGAGGUUUGUGUCGUCGUCAUGGGUUAUCAGUGGUUACUUUACUAAAUUACCUAGUUUUGGUUUGUCUUUACCUAACCAUGCUAAGUGUUUAUUGGAGCUUACCCGUUGCCCUGGGCGGCGGUACUGGUCUUACAUAGCGCAUGUGGCUGGGCCGGGCUGGCACCUAAGAAUGGACUCUUUGAAUUUGUUUUGUCUUUUGUCUGAGUUUAAUAAAUAUCAAUUGUUAAAACUUUCAACAACGGAUCUCUUGGUUCCAGCAUCGAUGAAGAACGCAGCGAAAUGCGAAAAGUAAUAAGUGAAUUGCAGAGCCAUAAGUGGAACAUCGAAUCUUUGAACGCACAUUGCGUGUCAGCGGUAUAUAACCCGUGACACAUGCUUUUUUGAGCGUCCUUUAAAGACCGCAAGCUUUUUUGCUUGGUUGUGAAGCUUGAGCGAUGCCUCUGUGCAUGUUCACCUUUGAAAUCUAUCGGCGCAUGUCUUUACGUUCCAUUUAGCGUUACAAGUUGACUCUUUCGCUUGGAUUUGUAAAGCUGUGUUGCUGUGAUUACCUCAAUAUAUUCGACCUCAAAGAAGUAGGGAUACCCGCUGAACUUAAGCAUAUCAAUAAGCGGAGGAAAAGAAAC
RNAcentral lists this ribosomal RNA (754 nucleotides) under Otidea propinquata. RNAcentral's name for it is "eukaryotic LSU rRNA". The stretch from base 359 to 521 matches the Rfam family "5.8S ribosomal RNA". The record is from RNAcentral. Lineage: Eukaryota; Fungi; Ascomycota; Pezizomycetes; Pezizales; Pyronemataceae.